This is a long non-coding RNA of Anneissia japonica, 303 nucleotides long. RefSeq lists it as uncharacterized. The transcript is spliced from 2 exons. Lineage: Eukaryota; Metazoa; Echinodermata; Crinoidea; Comatulida; Comatulidae. The record is from RefSeq and is a predicted model, not a curated record.
AUUAUUAAUGGGUGGAGAAUUGUAGGUAGGCUGAUAACAGUCACCAAUGACUUAUGGGAUGUCACUUGAACUGAUUAUAGUCAUUCAUUCUGGUAUGGAAUAAAGAAACAUGAUAGAUUGGUUAAAUGUAGCUCUCACGGCCUGACAUCAUUAUUAAUUUGAGCCCGCAAUCAUUAUUCUAUUUCCUGUCAUUAUUAAAGUGGUGCAGUGCUAACAACUCUCAUUUUUUUGUGUAUCCAAGAAUUAGGUAACUAGAUGUUGACAUCAUUUAUGAUAAGUGGCCACAAUAUCUUCCAUUGAAAA